GCGCACCAGUCGCGAAACCUCCGCAAUACACGAAAGUGUGACGGGGCCAUCCCGAGUGCCGUCCGCUGAGGACGGCUUUUCCCCAGUGUACACAGCUGGGGGAAUAAGGAGAGGGCAAGCCUGGCGUCAGCCGCCGCGGUAAUACCAGCUCUCCGAGUGGUGGGGACGCUUAUUGGGCCUAAAGCAUCCGUAGCCGGCUGGGCAAGUCCUCCGUUAAAUCCACGGGCCUAACCCGUGGGCUGCGGGGGAUACUACCUGGCUUGGGGGUGGGAGAGGGCGGCGGUAUUCCCGGGGUAGGGGUAAAAUCCUCUGAUCCCGGGAGGACCACCGGUGGCGAAGGCGGCCGCCCAGAACACGCCCGACGGUGAGGGACGAAAGCUGGGGGAGC
RNAcentral lists this ribosomal RNA (388 nucleotides) under uncultured microorganism. RNAcentral describes it as "bacterial SSU rRNA". It matches the Rfam family "Archaeal small subunit ribosomal RNA", at positions 330 to 720 of the family's 1478-position model. The record is from RNAcentral.